This 7193-nucleotide long non-coding RNA is filed under the name Lynx pardinus (Iberian lynx). The record is from RNAcentral. Lineage: Eukaryota; Metazoa; Chordata; Mammalia; Carnivora; Felidae.
UGAACCCACAAACUGUGAGAUCAUGACCUGAUCUGAAGUCAGACACUUAACUGACUGAGACACCCAGGCACCCCAGUUAUCAUUUUAUAUGUAGGCAUUAAAGUGUACAUUCAUUUUACUUGAAAAUAACAUAUACUGUAUUGAUGUGAACUAUAACAUUAGCCUAUUAAAUCUACUUAAUCUCACGUUCUCAGUAGGUCCUUACAGGCAACAGCGAAUUAAUGGGGACUGGGGUUGAGCACACUAGUGCUCAUUUGUGUCUCCUGGAGUUUUCUUCUUGUGAGAGCUUUCAGGAAAGGUUAAUUAUGCAUGGACAGACAUGCAUAGAAAGAUAGAAACUUCAGAUUGUUCUGUCAGACCCUUGUGUUGAACCAUUUCUUGUUCUCACUCUCUGUGGGGCAGCUGGCCACUUUUCCAACAUCAGUUCACACUGCGGAAACAGGGUAUGUGACUCUGGUCAGCUUCAGGCAAACACAGUUCGCCACAUUCAGAGCUUCUUGCCCUCUGCCACUUGGGAUUAAUCUUUGAACCAAGGAGUGUGGAGCAGGAGAUAAACAUAAUCAGAAUCAUAAUGGUACUGUUUCAGUAAAAUCUCAAAUAUUGCAAAUCUUAAUGUGGCAUAGACAGUGACAGGAAGAUAUAAAGAAGCAAAAUACAUAUUUGAGUCAAUAUUUAUUAAAUUCCCUGUCAUGACCAUGAUGAAACACAUUAUAGUAGUUUACAAAUUUGCUCAUAAGAUAAAAUAGAAAUAUUCUUAAAUUUUAUAUGUCAAAAUUUUCAAUUUGCUUUUUUAUUGGCAAUUACAUUAUAAUGGAUUAUAAUUACAUUUGGUAAUUAUAUAUAUAAUGUGUGUAUAUAUAUAUACAUAUAUAUAUACUCUUAUAUAAAUUUAUUAAUAAAAUUUUAAAAAACUUCUCCCCAAGAAGUAUAAACUCUUUCGAGUUUUGGAAGUUUGUUUUUCAUUGUUGUUGUUGUUGUUAUUGUUGUUAUCAUUUUUGUUGAUUCACUUCUUAUCUCAAAUGUCUGGAUGGAAUGCAAGAGUUAGGGAAUUGAUUGCAUUUCACAUAUUAAAGAUGAAGAAACCCCAGAAACUCAGAAGUUUUUACUAUUACUUUUAUUGCUUUUAGAUAGAUGAGGAGUAUGAAAGGUUAGAUAUCCUUAGUUAAUCUUAGGGAAUUAAAUCUAUCUGAGUAAAACCAAUUGGAAAGGAUUUUUUAUCUCGAGCUGUGGGCCUUUGUUCUGCAAUAACUACAGCCAUUUAAAGUAAAUUGUCCAUUAAAGUACCACUCUGGCUUUUGACAAAUUGCAUCAAACUGUUUUCUUCCUCCAGGGAAACACAAACCUGAGAACGGUGGUUUUAUUUUUUCUGCUUGACAUAUAGGUUGCCUGAACCAGAGGGCUGAAAUGCUUUUAGGUGCUCUAUAAGACAACCCAAAGAGGUUAUAUAUGGUCCAGUAGAGCCCAAGUGAAGACACUGAAUACUCACAGCUUAUCUUGUGUGAUGACAAAUAAUUGGUCAUGCCCUGAUAUCAUUUGUCAUUUUGAAAACCAUUCUUACUUUUUAAUCAUGUAAUAUAAGGACAAUAUAACAGACCUGACAAAGGCUAAAAAUCCCAUUUGUUUUUUGUUUUUUUUUUGGUGAAACAUUAGUCCCUGAACUAUAUGGAAAUAAUUCAAAUGACUGCCAAGGAGCAAAUUCAAGGCACUGAUGUCAUUAGCAGCUACUGUCUUAUUUUUCAGUUGAGGGAAGUUCAAGCUGCUAAUUGUAACUGAGUAAAAAAAAAUCAAUUUUGAUGGAAAUAUUCCUUCAAAAAUUAAAUACACUAUGGUCACAGAUUCAAAGAUAAUUAUAUACCUGUGGUUUAGAUAUUAAUGAAAUUAAAUAUUUUAUUGUUUUUUAAGUUUAGGUUACUUUAGGCUAUGUGAAAACAAUAUCUGAAUUGUUAGUAGUAGUAGUAAAAAUAGUUAAAAUAUUCUACCUUCACAGUAUAUAAUAAAAGAAGAAAAAUAAACAUUUCCUGUGUUUCUAAAAAUUGUUUCUUCAAUUUAGCUUUGAUAAUUGCUAUGUUGUGGUCAUGUGACUUGUUAAUUUAAAAAACCUUGAUUAUGAACUAGAUGUUCUAAUUUACAAACAUGAAAAGAUGGGCAUUAGGUUAAAAUACUAAAGUUGCUUAUAUGCUUUGACUGUAGGAAUCAUUUUCUGGUCCACACCAUUUUGUAGAGUAUAUAAAAUUUAUUAUCUCAUACUGGAUCAAUAGCCUAGAAAGUUCUGGCUGUGUCAGUUUCCUUGACUUUCACAACUUUGACAGUUGAAGACAGUCUGUUAUUUUGUAGACUAUCCCUGAAUUUGGGUUUGUCUGAUGUUUCUUAUUGAUGAGCUUCAGUUAUGUACAUUGAGAAGGAAUAUCACAGAAAUGAGCCUAACGGGGUACAUGAUUUUGUCUUAUUAUUCAUAAUGCUAAUUUUGAUUAUGUAUUUAAGUCAUGUCUACCAGACCACUCCACUGUAAAUUUUUUUAUUUUAGUUUUGUGAUGAGUAAGAAUUUUGUGGAGACAUGCUUGAGACUGUGUAAACAUUUCAUUUUUUACUAUAUAUAUUUUUUUUCUAUAUUUUUGAUUCAUCCAUUUGUUUAGUAAAUUUACUUACUUUGAUAUCCAAAUUGUCCCACAUUUAGCAAAGAGAGACCCUUCAAUCUGGCUUCUGUAUCCUUUUGACAUGUCUGAAUCAUUUUAUGUACUUUAUUUCUUUCUUGCACAAUAAGAUUUUCCAGGCCCGUUUUCUUCUUUCCCUAACCCAGUCAGCUAUUUCUUUUUCUUUUUUUUUUUUUUUAAUUUUUUUUUUCAACGUUUAUUUAUUUUUGGGACAGAGAGAGACAGAGCAUGAACGGGGGAGGGGCAGAGAGAGAGGGAGACACAGAAUCGGAAACAGGCUCCAGGCUCUGAGCCAUCAGCCCAGAGCCCGACGCGGGGCUCGAACUCACUGGGCCGCGAGAUCGUGACCUGGCUGAAGUCGGACGCUUAACCGACUGCGCCACCCAGGCGCCCCCAGUCAGCUAUUUCUUAAAAGAUCUUCAAUUUCUUUUAGUGAAGAAUGAUGUUUAGAAACCAAGAUCUGGCAGCACUUAUUAAUACAGUUCACUUAUUUCUGCUGGAGGCCACUGUUCCCAGGAGUGCUCAGUAGACAGAGCUAAGGAAUAUGUAUAUGUAUAUGUGUAUGUGUGCAUACAUACAUUUAUAUCUACUCAAUUCUAUAUUUAUUAGUACACACACAUUUGUAUCUUUAUUUCUUUGUCUUUGUCUUCAUCUCUCUUGCUCUGUAUAUAUAUUAAAAUACAUGAAUUAACAUCAAUACCUUCAAUUCUAUUGCAACACUCAGGAUUCAUCCUUUUCUUUCUUUCUGUAUGUCUUUCUCUGAGAGUGAGAAACCAGACUCCCACUAGCUUUAAUAUCUGUACUUAUUUGGUCAAUCCUUCUAUAUGGAACCAAUCUCUUGUAGCCAACACUGCCUCCACCCCUGCAGGGAUGCCUGCCUUAUCCUGCUCAGGCACAAAUAUGUGGUUCCAAAUCACCCCUCUGCAAGGAUGCUCCAUUGACUGCUCAUGCACCAGAAGCCAAGGUGGGGCCACCUCCAUUUCUGCACAGAGACAUUCUCACACAACUUGCUCUCUCGAAUUCUACCGUGCACCCUAGUGGCUUCCCCUCACCCUUGUGACAGCCUACUUUCUAUUUUCCUCAGAUGGACUAUACACACCUCCCUGGAUUUCCUCUAUCUUUGUUUUAUUCACAUUUCUUUUCUAGCCUGCUCUCUAAAUGUUCAAGUUCCUUAGAGCUUGCUUAUUCCUUGUUGCCUACAUGAUGACAAUCAGUCUCAUGGUGUUAAGGAUCUUCUCCAGGUCAGUAACCCUCAAAUCAAUAUCUUCUGAGUUCAAAGCUGAUACACAUAACUACUUAUUUGACAUCUACACUUGGAUCUCAUGCAUUCAAAUAUAAAAUGUAUAAAUGAGAACUUUUGAUUCUUCUUUUCCCAUUCUUCUUCCUCAAUAAAUAACACCACUACUGUUGUGCAAGCCAGAAUAUAGGAUAUCUUUUCCUUAUCUGUACAAAUGCAUAUAUUAGCAAAUCCAACUUUUCUUCAAAAUGUUUCCUUUAUUUGUUGAUUUCCAUUAAUCUGAAUUGUUGCCACCUUUGUCCAAGCCAUACUCCUAUCUCACUCAGACAAUUAUGGUGGCAUAUUUUUCUACUUCUGUUCUUGCUUCUAUAACCUAUAAUCAAAUCUUCCAUAAUCUAUAUUCUUCUAAAAGAAGUAGAAUUAUAUUUUAUUUAAAAAUUUUUAAAACGUUUAUUUAUUUUUGAGACAGAGAGAGACAGAGCAUGAACGGGGGAGGGGCAGAGAGAGAGGGAGACAUAGAAUCCGAAGCAGGCUCCAGGCUCUGAGCCAUCAGCCUAGAGCCCGACACGGGGCUCAAACUCAUGGACCGCGAGAUCGUGACCUGAGCUGAAGUCAGAUGCUUAACCGACUGAGCCACCCAGGUGCCCCAAGAAGUAGAAUUAUAUUUUAAAAAAUUACAUCAGGGCAUGUCAUCUCUCAACAAAAUCCUCUUGGUUUUCUCUUGUAUUUACAGUGAAAUGCAAACUUCUUGCUUUGUCUACCGUGCUCCCUCCAUGGUCUGGCUCUAGCUUAUUUCUGUCCUUCCAUCUUCUAUCACUUUUCCCUUCUGAUUUACUAGGAUCUUUCCUAUCAUUCUUGUCCUAUAACAUGCCAACUUUUUCCCAACUCAGGCAUUUGGAUUUGCUCUCUAGAAUCCACUUUCUCCAAAUCUUCAUUUACCUGACUCUUUCUCACUUGGAUCUCAUGGAAAUAUUGCUGAUGAAAUAAACUAACCAAUUUCUGAGAAAACUCUUGAGUCUCUUAGUGAAUUUAUGAGUUUAGCAAGGCACUUAAUGACCAUUUCUAAGUGGCUUCUCAGAAAGUCUAAGAGGUCUCAGAAAGUGGUUUGGAGUCUUACAGAGAGGACUUAUAGAAUGCAGCUGAGAUUUCCUGAAUCAUGGGAAGAUUUAAGAGUUGAGAAAAACAUGGAAUGAGGGAAGAAGUCAGGAGCCAUAAGAUGGGGAAUAUGUGAUAUGGAUGUAGGGUCUGAACUUUAUGGUCUAGGUUGUAGACUUCAGCAAUGGUCACAAGUACCCACUAAAAUCAGAUAAAACCAUUUACAAUAUAAAAGGGACUAAGGUCAGACAGCCAGGACUAAAGCUACCUAACAACCACCCUUAGAGAUUUCUGAAACUGCUGGUGGAGAAUUCCAGAUGUGAGGUCCUUUAUCAAUAGCCAAGAGGAACUAUAAACAGCUCCUUGCAUAGAUCCCUAGGUAUUACCAUGGGGGAGGGGAUUGGUGGUGAAGGCAAUCCUGAAAGAUUUAAUCACUUGCUUAAAAGAGAUGGAGGUAACUUUAAAAAAAUAUAAAUGCAAGAUAUUUAGUUUAUUUUUAUUUUGAAAGUUUAACAAAUCUAAGCCUACUCAAAUUUCCCAGUGGACUAAGAGUAAAUGGGCCAUAUGAGUAUGUGCAUGUGUAUGUAUAGCACAUACAAAUGUGUGCAAGUUAUCAUUAUUAUUUUUCUAGUUAUUUAUUUUUGGGGGGAGAGAACAAGUGAAAGAGGGACAAAGAGAGUGGGGGAGAGGAUCCAAAGCAGGCUCUGCACUGACAGCUGACAGCAGUGAGCCCGAUAUGCGGCUUGAACUCAUGAACUGCGAGAUCAUGACCUGAGAUGAAGUCAGAUGCUCAACCAACUGAGCCACCCAGGUUCCCCUGUGCAAAUUAUUUUUAACCAUACAGUGAUAAAUAGUUGACAACACUAAGGAAUUUAUGUCUAUUUAAGUGCAUGAAUUUAUAAACUGAUUCAAGGACUAAAAAUAGGUUAAUACUGCCUGAAGGGACAGUUAUAUAUUUGAGCAAUUGUUCUCAACCUUGAUUGCUCAUUUUAUCUAAUUGGGGGAAUCUUUAAAAAAGCUAAUGUUUAAGUCCACCUUUGAGAGAUUCUGAUUUAAUUGGCCUGGAGUGUGGGCUGGGUAUCAUGGUUCUUAAAAACAUUUCCAGCUGCUUCUAAUGUGAAGCCAGGGUUGAUAGGUUGAGAACUAGUGUUUUAGACUAAGAUAAUCUCUACCUACAUUGCCAGUCACACACCACCAUUUCCUGUAUGCUAAUACCUCCUGAUAUGAGUGAGAUUUAGGGCAACCCUAAUCCCUGGCUCUACUUGACAGCUUCUGAUUCAAAAAGUUUCCAAGGGGUAGAGGUACAAAAAAUAUUCCUAGAUAAAUGCAUUAUUUUACCCUAGUUAGCUGGAUUGAAAACUCAUCAGCUUGACGUCUCUUUUUGUCUCAUUGGCUUCAGUGGAUUCUGGAAGCAAAUCAAAUGAUUUCCUCGGACUCUUUCCCUCUAGGGUCAUACCAGCACCCUGACCUUUUAGAUAUUACUACCCUCAUCUUGAGAAGAGGGGUGGAAAAGUCAACUUAGGAAGGUUUCUUCUUCCCAAAGGCUUAAAGCAGAGCUGACCUUUACCUCAUUUUCUUUUCCCUUCUCUUAGGUUUUGUGAGCAAUCAUCUUGUGAUCAAGAGCCACCCAGAGUUUCCCAAUUUCAUAUACUUGGCAAAAUUGCCUGGUUAUUCUUACUUAAGCAAACAAUAAUAACAAUAAAAAAGCAGAUCCUUCAGCUCCGUGCCACCUAGUCUAAGAAACACCACUGGUCAGCGUAAGAUUAAUGGGGCUCCAGAGAGCACUGUGGUAAAGCCUGCUAACCCAGCAGUCUUUUGAAACAUGCCAAGAUAUCCUCAGCAAUGACAUCUCCAUAAUGAGUUUCAUGAGGGUGUACAUUGAGUCUAAUGAACUUUUGUUAGCUCUGCUGUUUCUCACUUUGUUGCUUUUGCAGCUGCUAAAAUGGGAAGGAUUGAGAUCAGCAAGUUUCUGACUGUGAGUAAGCUAAAAUAGGCUUUUGAAUAAUGUUUUCCGCCUGCUUAGCAAAUUUCUCUUGUGACAGUUGGAUGUUAUUUGGGGUGCCAUACUAGGAGGAAGAGGCACAAGCACAUUUCAGUCAGUUUUGAGAAUAAAUAUUCUGUGUAUAUAUUUGUAGUUGUUAUAUUUUUCCUUCUUGAGGGUUAUGAUUGAUCCUUGGCAUGUGGCCCCUUGUGUAUUGCUCUGCUGAAAA